Molecule: non-coding RNA, 536 nt
Filed under: Cathartes aura (turkey vulture)
Lineage: Eukaryota; Metazoa; Chordata; Aves; Accipitriformes; Cathartidae
Description: Eukaryotic small subunit ribosomal RNA
Rfam family: Eukaryotic small subunit ribosomal RNA
Source: Rfam by way of RNAcentral
UUUCCCUGUAGUUAGAAGCUGUGUGUUAAGCAUGGACAGCUAUUAAUUUGAAAAUUAACUGCACUCCUAAACUUAGGACUUCUAGUAAGCAGGGAAGGGAUCUCUAAGAUGCCCUCCAUUGGAGGGCAAGUCUGGUGCCAGCAGCCGCGGUAAUUCCAGCUCCAAUAGCGUAUCUUAAAGUUGCUGCAGUUAGAAAGCUCGUAGUUGGAUCUUGGGAUGAAGCUGGCGGUGUGCUGCGAGGUGAGCCACCACCUGUCCCAGCCCCUGCCUCUUGGCACCCCCUUCAUGCUCUUAGCUGAGCGUCCCACAGGGCCCAAAGCAUUUACUUUGACAAAAUUAGAGUGUUCAAAGCAGGCCGGCCGCCAGCAUACUGCAGCUAGGAAUAAUGGAAUAGGACUCCAGUUCUAUUUUGUUGGGUUUUGGAAAUGGGGCCAUGAUUAAGAGGUAAAGGAAGAGAAGGAUGCGGUGGAAUAAUGCAGGGAAGAGGUCCAGUCCUCUUGUGCCAGCAAGUCAUAUACUUGAACUGUGGAGCAAAG